GGAUGUAGCUUAGUUGGUAAAGUGCUUGCCUAGCAUGUACAAAGUCCUGGGUUCGAGUCCCAGGGCAUCUA
RNAcentral lists this transfer RNA (71 nucleotides) under Mus musculus (house mouse). It matches the Rfam family "tRNA". From Rfam's summary of the family: Transfer RNA (tRNA) molecules are approximately 80 nucleotides in length. Their secondary structure includes four short double-helical elements and three loops (D, anti-codon, and T loops). Lineage: Eukaryota; Metazoa; Chordata; Mammalia; Rodentia; Muridae. The record is from Rfam by way of RNAcentral.